CGCGAAGAACCUUACCUACUCUUGACAUCCAGAGAAUCCUACGGAGACGUGGGAGUGCCUUCGGGAACUCUGAGACAGGUGCUGCAUGGCUGUCGUCAGCUCGUGUUGUGAAAUGUUGGGUUAAGUCCCGCAACGAGCGCAACCCUUAUCCUUGUUUGCCAGCACUUCGGGUGGGAACUCCAGGGAGACUGCCGGUGAUAAACSGGAGGAAGGUGGGGACGACGUCAAGUCAUCAUGGCCCUUACGAGUAGGGCUACACACGUGCUACAAUGGCGCAUACAGAGGGCGGCCAACUUGCGAAAGUGAGCGAAUCCCAAAAAGUGCGUCUAGUCCGGAUUGGAGUCUGCAACUCGACUCCAUGAA
This 363-nucleotide ribosomal RNA is filed under the name Vibrionaceae bacterium. RNAcentral describes it as "bacterial SSU rRNA". It matches the Rfam family "Bacterial small subunit ribosomal RNA", at positions 960 to 1324 of the family's 1533-position model. Lineage: Bacteria; Pseudomonadati; Pseudomonadota; Gammaproteobacteria; Vibrionales; Vibrionaceae. The record is from RNAcentral.